CCUGUGAGGAGGAGUCAAUGCAAAACUCAGAUGUCUUCCACCUCUACUUAUCUGACUGCAGAGAGGACGACAGAGAACAGUGGACACACAGUUUAACAUGAUGGACUAUAGGACAGGACUGCUGCUUUUAACUCUCUGCUGGGCAGGUGUUGAUGGUCAGACUCUGACAGAAUCUGAACCAGUGGUUAAAAGGCCUGGAGAAUCUCACAGAAUGACCUGUACAGCCUCUGGAUUCACAUUCAGCAGCUACCAUAUGAGCUGGGUCAGACAGGCUCCUGGAGAAGGACUGGAGUGGAUCGCUUUUAUACACACAGGCAGUUCGCAUAUCUAUUACUCCCAGUCAGUCCAGGGUAGAUUCACCAUCUCCAGAGACGACUCCAUGACCAACAUUCUGUCACUGAUACGCCAGUCUCCACCGUCUGCUAAUCAUCCACUCCUGCUCCCCAUCAGCUCCUAAUCACAGCCAGCAUAAAAAGCCCUGCACUCACCUCAGCCAGGGUCAGACCUUGUUUCGCCAUGCUACUCAGCAUAACCCUGAUCUCCCUUUCCUCCUCUUCAGCGAUCUCCCCACCAGCGAGUCUUCCCUCCAACAGAAUCCCCCAUCUCCAUACCUGCACGCCUGUCCUAUCUGGCUGUGAUCCAAUAAACUACUA
This is a non-coding RNA of Siniperca chuatsi (mandarin fish), 653 nucleotides long. Lineage: Eukaryota; Metazoa; Chordata; Actinopteri; Centrarchiformes; Sinipercidae. The record is from the annotation of a RefSeq genome assembly.